RNAcentral lists this long non-coding RNA (361 nucleotides) under Heterocephalus glaber (naked mole-rat). Its description in RNAcentral is "lncRNA (ENSHGLG00000042728.1)". The record is from RNAcentral. Lineage: Eukaryota; Metazoa; Chordata; Mammalia; Rodentia; Bathyergidae.
GGAGAACCCAAAUCUCAGGGAUGGAAGCAGUAUACAUUCCAAGACCAAUGUAUCUGAGCUGAACAUGAUCUCUACAACCUGCCUGAUAUCACAUUACCAUGCUGCACAUGGGUACAUAAAACUGUUGGACUGUUAUUUUAGAAGAUGAACAAGGAAGGACACAAUGACAUGGGUCAGCUGCUGCCUGGAAUAUACCUUCAUGGCAUGAUACAGCUGUUUAAUGGUCCACUGCUAGUUCCUCAAGGGAUCAAACUUGGGACCUUGCACUUGUGAGGCAGAUGGCAGAACCACUGAGCUAAAUCCCUGGCUGUUUCCAGAACUACUUUGGAAAGUGGCAAGAACAACUGGGUAUUUUGAGAGG